UUUAGCAUGGAAUAAUGGAAUAGGACGUGUGGUUCUAUUUUGUUGGUUAUGGGACCGCCGUAAUGAUUAAUAGGGACAGUCGGGGGCAUCAGUAUUCAAUUGUCAGAGGUGAAAUUCUUGGAUUUAUUGAAGACUAACUACUGCGAAAGCAUUUGCCAAGGAUGUUUUCAUUAAUCAGGAACGAAAGUUAGGGGAUCGAAGACGGUCAGAUACCGUCGUAGUCUUAACCAUAAACUAUGCCGACUAGGGAUCGGACGAUGUUACUUUUUGACUCGUUCGGCACCUUACGAGAAAUCAAAGUCUGUGGGUUCCUGGGGAAGUAUGGUGGCAACGCUGAAACUUAAAGAAAUUGACGGAAGGGCACCACCAGGGGUGGAGCCUGCGGCUUAAUUUGACUCAACACGGGGAAACUCACCAGGUCCAGACACAAUGAGGAUUGACAGAUUGAGAGCUCUUUCUUGAUUUUGUGGGUGGUGGUGCAUGGCCGUUCUUAGUUGGUGGAGUGAUUUGUCUGCUUAAUUGCGAUAACGAACGAGACCUUAACCUGCUAAAUAGCCCGUGUUGCUUUUGCAGCACGCCGGCUUCUUAGAGGGACUAUCGGCUCAAGCCGAUGGAAGUUUGAGGCAAUAACAGGUCUGUGAUGCCCUUAGAUGUUCUGGGCCGCACGCGCGCGACACUGACAGGGCCAGCGAGUACUCCCUUGUCCGAAAGGACCGGGUAAUCUUGUUAAACCCUGUCGUGCUGGGGAUAGAGCAUUGCAAUA
RNAcentral lists this ribosomal RNA (763 nucleotides) under uncultured fungus. RNAcentral describes it as "SSU rRNA". It matches the Rfam family "Eukaryotic small subunit ribosomal RNA", at positions 803 to 1591 of the family's 1831-position model. Lineage: Eukaryota; Fungi. The record is from RNAcentral.